RNAcentral lists this ribosomal RNA (374 nucleotides) under uncultured bacterium. RNAcentral describes it as "bacterial SSU rRNA". It matches the Rfam family "Bacterial small subunit ribosomal RNA", at positions 524 to 898 of the family's 1533-position model. The record is from RNAcentral.
UACGUAGGGUGCAAGCGUUAAUCGGAAUUACUGGGCGUAAAGCGUGCGCAGGCGGUUGUGCAAGACAGGUGUGAAAUCCCCGGGCUUAACCUGGGAACUGCACUUGUGACUGCACGGCUGGAGUACGGCAGAGGGGGAUGGAAUUCCGCGUGUAGCAGUGAAAUGCGUAGAUAUGCGGAGGAACACCGAUGGCGAAGGCAAUCCCCUGGGCCUGUACUGACGCUCAUGCACGAAAGCGUGGGGAGCAAACAGGAUUAGAUACCCUGGUAGUCCACGCCCUAAACGAUGUCAACUGGUUGUUGGGAGGGUUUCUUCUCAGUAACGAAGCUAACGCGUGAAGUUGACCGCCUGGGGAGUACGGCCGCAAGGUUGAA